UACGGAGGGUGCGAGCGUUGUCCGGAAUCACUGGGCGUAAAGGGCGCGUAGGAGGCCUGAUAAGUAGGGGGUGAAAUCCUGAGGCUUAACCUCAGGGCUGCCUUCUAAACUGUCAGGCUCGAGCACAGUAGAGGAAGGUGGAAUUCCCGGUGUAGCGGUGGAAUGCGUAGAGAUCGGGAAGAACAUCAGUGGCGAAGGCGGCCUGCUGGGCUGUUGCUGACGCUGAGGCGCGACAGCGUGGGGAGCAAACAGG
RNAcentral lists this ribosomal RNA (253 nucleotides) under uncultured bacterium. RNAcentral's name for it is "partial 16S ribosomal RNA". It matches the Rfam family "Bacterial small subunit ribosomal RNA", at positions 524 to 776 of the family's 1533-position model. The record is from RNAcentral.